This 531-nucleotide ribosomal RNA is filed under the name Triticum aestivum (bread wheat). Its description in RNAcentral is "partial small subunit ribosomal RNA". Lineage: Eukaryota; Viridiplantae; Streptophyta; Magnoliopsida; Poales; Poaceae. The record is from RNAcentral.
AUGAAGUUGAUCCGCAGGGGCAAGCGUUCAAGGGCGAAGAAGGGCUCGUCAGCUCCGUUGCAAUCUACCGGAGAUGUUGAUGGUGGAAGCGGGGGUGGCUCCAAUAGCAGGCAAGUGGCGCCUGAGAACGUCCUCCCGGCUGAAUCGACUACAGUCGCUGGCUAUGCUAGCAGCAGAGAUGAAGCUUUCUACGAAGCCUCUCCAUGGUUAGACUCGGACUGUGAAGACGAUUUCUUCAGUGUAAAUGGAGAUGGUACACCCGCGAGAACAUUCAGCACAACUGCAAGCAACCAGGCCACAGCUGCUGCAUUUGAACCUCAGACAAAGCUGCCCACGCUGGAGGCGAUCCUCAAAUCCGAUCCCCUGAAGCCAACCCCACAGAGGAAGAAGCUCGGUGACCUCCUCAAGGAGAAGCAAGAAAGCGCCGAUGGCGCCGGCCACAUCUCCAAGGCUCGCGGCGGAGGCGGAGCUGGGCGGUGCUGCAUCCCUCAGUUGUCGCGGGUCAUCAGCCACAGGGAGAGGAGAAAUUAA